GCGACCGGCGGAAGGGUGCGUAACGCGUGAGCAACAUGCCCGUCUCAGGGGGAUAACCGAUGGAAACGUCGCCUAAUACCCCCGUAACAACGGAUCCCGCAUGAGAUCUGUUUGAAAGCUCCGGCGGAGACGGAUUGGCUCGCGUGACAUUAGCUAGUUGGCGGGUAACGCCCACCAAGGCGACGAUGUCUAGGGGUUCCUGAGAGGAAGGUCCCCCACACUGGAACUGAGACACGGUCCAGACUCCUACGGGAGGCAGCAGUGAGGAAUAUUGGUCAAUGGGCGGAAGCCUGAACCAGCCAUGCCGCGUGAAGGAUUAAGGCCCUAUGGGUCGUAAACUUCUUUUGACGGGGAGCAAUAAGGGCGUCGCGCACGUCCGAUGAGAGUACUCGUCGAAUAAGCAUCGGCUAACUCCGUGCC
RNAcentral lists this ribosomal RNA (420 nucleotides) under uncultured bacterium. RNAcentral's name for it is "partial 16S ribosomal RNA". It matches the Rfam family "Bacterial small subunit ribosomal RNA", at positions 91 to 509 of the family's 1533-position model. The record is from RNAcentral.